UAUUAAAAAUUCUAUUCAUUUCUACCGUUAAAAAUUGGUGUGACUGAUAGAACACGUGUAUUUCAUUCAAACAUAUAGGAAUUAAUUUUUAACUGUAAGAAUAGAUAAAAUUUUUAAUA
Molecule: microRNA precursor, 119 nt
Filed under: Gossypium hirsutum (cotton)
Lineage: Eukaryota; Viridiplantae; Streptophyta; Magnoliopsida; Malvales; Malvaceae
Description: MIR7502 microRNA precursor family
Rfam family: MIR7502 microRNA precursor family
Source: Rfam by way of RNAcentral